CCUACGGGAGGCAGCAGUGAGGAAUAUUGGUCAAUGGGCGCGAGCCUGAACCAGCCAAGUAGCGUGAAGGAUGACUGCCCUACGGGUUGUAAACUUCUUUUAUAAGGGAAUAAAGUGAGCCACGUGUGGCUUUUUGUAUGUACUUUAUGAAUAAGGAUCGGCUAACUCCGUGCCAGCAGCCGCGGUAAUACGGAGGAUCCGAGCGUUAUCCGGGUUUAUUGGGUUUAAAGGGAGCGUAGGUGGGUUGUUAAGUCAGUUGGGAAAGUUUGCGGCUCAACCGUAAAAUUGCAAUUGAAACUGGCAGUCUUGAGUACAGUAGAGGUAGGCGGAAUUCGUGGUGUAGCGGUGAAAUGCUUAGAUAUCACGAAGAACUCCGAUUGCGAAGGCAGCUUACUAAACUGCCACUGACAUUGAUGCUCGAAAGUGUGGGUAUCAAACAGGAUUAGAUACCCGAGUAGUC
This 460-nucleotide ribosomal RNA is filed under the name uncultured bacterium. RNAcentral's name for it is "partial 16S ribosomal RNA". It matches the Rfam family "Bacterial small subunit ribosomal RNA", at positions 338 to 795 of the family's 1533-position model. The record is from RNAcentral.